CCUACGGGAGGCAGCAGUGAGGAAUAUUGGUCAAUGGACGAGAGUCUGAACCAGCCAAGUAGCGUGAAGGAUGACUGCCCUAUGGGUUGUAAACUUCUUUUAUAUGGGAAUAAAAUGUUCCACGUGUGGGAUUUUGUAUGUACCAUAUGAAUAAGGAUCGGCUAACUCCGUGCCAGCAGCCGCGGUAAUACGGAGGAUCCGAGCGUUAUCCGGAUUUAUUGGGUUUAAAGGGAGCGUAGGUGGAUUGUUAAGUCAGUUGUGAAAGUUUGCGGCUCAACCGUAAAAUUGCAGUUGAAACUGGCAGUCUUGAGUAAAGUAGAGGUGGGCGGAAUUCGUGGUGUAGCGGUGAAAUGCUUAGAUAUCACGAAGAACUCCGAUUGCGAAGGCAGUUCACUGGACUGCAACUGACACUGAGGCUCGAAAGUGGGGGUAUCAAACAGGAUUAGAUACCCGGGUAGUC
This 460-nucleotide ribosomal RNA is filed under the name uncultured bacterium. RNAcentral's name for it is "partial 16S ribosomal RNA". It matches the Rfam family "Bacterial small subunit ribosomal RNA", at positions 338 to 795 of the family's 1533-position model. The record is from RNAcentral.